This 510-nucleotide ribosomal RNA is filed under the name uncultured bacterium. RNAcentral's name for it is "partial 16S ribosomal RNA". It matches the Rfam family "Bacterial small subunit ribosomal RNA", at positions 28 to 507 of the family's 1533-position model. The record is from RNAcentral.
GACGAACGCUGGCGGCGUGCUUAACACAUGCAAGUCGAACGAAGAGCGAUGGACGCUUGCUUCUAUCAAUCUUAGUGGCGAACGGGUGAGUAACGCGUAAUCAACCUGCCCUUCAGAGGGGGACAACAGUUGGAAACGACUGCUAAUACCGCAUACGAUCUAAUCUCGGCAUCGAGGAUAGAUGAAAGGUGGCCUCUACAUGUAAGCUAUCACUGAAGGAGGGGAUUGCGUCUGAUUAGCUAGUUGGAGGGGUAACGGCCCACCAAGGCGAUGAUCAGUAGCCGGUCUGGGAGGAUGAACGGCCACAUUGGGACUGAGACACGGCCCAGACUCCUACGGGAGGCAGCAGUGGGGAAUCUUCCGCAAUGGACGAAAGUCUGACGGAGCAACGCCGCGUGAGUGAUGACGGCCUUCGGGUUGUAAAGCUCUGUUAAUCGGGACGAAAGGCCUUCUUGCGAAUAGUGAGAAGGAUUGACGGUACCGGAAUAGAAAGCCACGGCUAACUACGUG